Molecule: antisense RNA, 252 nt
Filed under: Yersinia frederiksenii
Lineage: Bacteria; Pseudomonadati; Pseudomonadota; Gammaproteobacteria; Enterobacterales; Yersiniaceae
Description: Yersinia sRNA 283
Rfam family: Yersinia sRNA 283
About the family: Identified in transcriptional profiling by RNA seq.
Source: RNAcentral
AAUAGCCGGAACAAUCAACAAUAGCAACAAACCGGGGACGAUCAUCGCCAAUGCCCAGACACCCCAGUCCAAAUUUACACCCAAUAUUUGAGCGGCAAAAUCUGCGGUCAGCAAGUUGGGUGCCAUCGCCGUGAUGAACAUAAAGCUACUGACUUUCAUUACGAAGUAGAUGUUAGACAUCAAAUAAGAACCGGCUUUCUUUGCCGUUUCACCAGGCUCCGAACCCAAGGCUUUCACUACCGAGUGGAUUAU